This 252-nucleotide ribosomal RNA is filed under the name uncultured bacterium. Its description in RNAcentral is "partial 16S ribosomal RNA". It matches the Rfam family "Bacterial small subunit ribosomal RNA", at positions 57 to 305 of the family's 1533-position model. The record is from RNAcentral.
GCAAGUCGAGCGGUAACAGGAAGUAGCUUGCUACUUCGGCGUCGAGCGGCGGACGGGUGAGUAAUGCCUAGGAAAUUGCCCUGAUGUGGGGGAUAACCAUUGGAAACGAUGGCUAAUACCGCAUAACGCCUUCGGGCCAAAGAGGGGGACCUUCGGACCUCUCGCGUCAAGAUAUGCCUAGGUGGGAUUAGCUAGUUGGUGAGGUAAUGGCUCACCAAGGCGACGAUCCCUAGCUGGUCUGAGAGGAUGAUC